This 474-nucleotide ribosomal RNA is filed under the name uncultured Nitrososphaerota archaeon. RNAcentral describes it as "bacterial SSU rRNA". It matches the Rfam family "Archaeal small subunit ribosomal RNA", at positions 215 to 690 of the family's 1478-position model. Lineage: Archaea; Thermoproteati; Nitrososphaerota. The record is from RNAcentral.
CUGCGGCCUAUCAGCUUGUUGGUGAGGUAAUGGCCCACCAAGGCGAUUACAGGUACGGGCUCUGAGAGGAGAAGCCCGGAGAUGGGUACUGAGACAAGGACCCAGGCCCUAUGGGGCGCAGCAGGCGAGAAAACUUUGCAAUGUGCGAAAGCACGACAAGGUUAAUCCGAGUGAUUUCUGCUAAAGGAAUCUUUUGUUAGUUCUAAAUAUACUAGUGAAUAAGGGGUGGGCAAGUUCUGGUGUCAGCCGCCGCGGUAAAACCAGCACCUCAAGUGGUCAGGAGGAUUAUUGGGCCUAAAGCAUCCGUAGCCUGUUCUAUAAGUUUGCGGUUAAAUCUAUGCGCUCAACGUAUAGGCUGCCGUAAAUACUGUAGAACUAGGGAGUGGGAGAGGUAGACGGUACUCGAUAGGAAGGGGUAAAAUCCUUUGAUCUAUUGAUGACCACCUGUGGCGAAGGCGGUCUACCAGAACACGU